Molecule: transfer RNA, 74 nt
Filed under: Tuber melanosporum (Perigord truffle)
Lineage: Eukaryota; Fungi; Ascomycota; Pezizomycetes; Pezizales; Tuberaceae
Also listed under: 1 other name
Description: tRNA-Met (CAT) (tRNA-Met-CAT-1 1 to 3)
Rfam family: tRNA
About the family: Transfer RNA (tRNA) molecules are approximately 80 nucleotides in length. Their secondary structure includes four short double-helical elements and three loops (D, anti-codon, and T loops).
Source: RNAcentral
GUCUUCAUGGCUUAGUUGGUUAAAGCGUCGGUCUCAUAAUCCGAAGGUCGCGAGUUCGACUCUCGCUGAGGACA